RNAcentral lists this ribosomal RNA (408 nucleotides) under uncultured bacterium. RNAcentral describes it as "partial 16S ribosomal RNA". It matches the Rfam family "Bacterial small subunit ribosomal RNA", at positions 29 to 526 of the family's 1533-position model. The record is from RNAcentral.
AGUGAACGCUGGCGGCGUGCCUAAUACAUGCAAGUCGAACGAAGUGGCGCACGGGUGAGUAAUAUAUAGUUAAUCAGCCCUACACAGAGGAACAACAGUUGGAAACGACUGCUAAUACCUCAUAGUGUAGGAUGAGACUAUAUCGUAUCAGCUAGUUGGUAAGGUAAUGGCUUACCAAGGCUAUGACGCGUAACUGGUCUGAGAGGAUGAUCAGUAACAUUGUAACUGAGACACGAUCCGAACUCCUACGGGAGGCGGCAGUAAGGAAUAAUGCGCAAUCGGGGAAACCCUAACGCAGCAACGCCGCGUGGAGGAUGACACUUGUCGAAGCGUAAACUCCUUUUAUCAGGAAAGCGUUACCUGCUGAAUAAGCACCGGCUAACUACGUGCCAGCCGCCGCGGUAAUUC